This 675-nucleotide long non-coding RNA is filed under the name Canis lupus familiaris (dog). Its description in RNAcentral is "lncRNA (ENSCAFG00030004238.1)". The record is from RNAcentral. Lineage: Eukaryota; Metazoa; Chordata; Mammalia; Carnivora; Canidae.
UGACUGAGCCACCCGGGCUCCCCGGAAAGUCUUAUUUUAAAAAAAAACUAUCAUAUGCUGGGAGAGCAGCAACUUAAAAGAAAAAAAAAAAUCAAAAUGUGAAAAGCAGAGCAAGCAGAGAUUAAGGUAGACCUGAAGUCUCCAAAGAAACCAAAUCAAUAAGACAUGGAAUCUUCAUCAGUCAAGAGCCAAGUACUUUGAAGUAUUCAUACAUACCAGCUGGAAGAAACAUACCACGGCUACACUUAAACCUAAACACGUGCACUGCAUGAUAGGACUGCUAAAUUGGAUAUAUUAAGGUUCACAAUUUCUUGGAGGCAACUGUAUGUAUUUAGACAAUUUCUAGGAUGAUAGAAAGUGAAAAAAUAAGUUAUCUAAACUGAUACUUUCAUGUCUUUUGUAACCGAUUUUCUAAAAGAACAUGACUUGCUAUGUAUAUUUUUAAAAUAGGAUGUAUGUUUUGAGUUGAUUUCCUGAUAGUGGCAAUGAGUUUUCCUCAACACAUGUGUGUAGUGGUUCUGUGAAUAAUGGCACACAUUGACGAGACAGCUGGCCGAGGAGAGAACAUUUAUUCAUGUAGAGAUACCACGGUCAUAUGACAAUGAACCCACGAAAGCUUCACAGCAGCACCAUGACACACCCAACCAUAUGAAUAAAUCUGAGUGGGGAAUAGUU